Molecule: long non-coding RNA, 236 nt
Organism: Acinonyx jubatus (cheetah)
Lineage: Eukaryota; Metazoa; Chordata; Mammalia; Carnivora; Felidae
Exons: 2
Source: RefSeq, a predicted model, not a curated record
UCCCAGCUCCACUCCGCUUCCAUUAGUUGUGGUCGCAUCCGGUUGCGCGGAGCCCAACACAGGGCUCGAACUCAAGGACGGUGAGAUCGAGACCUGAGCCGAGAUCCAGAAUCGGACGCUCAACCCACUGAGCCACCCAGGCGCCCCUGUGUGUUUAUAGUUUAUUGUAAAUUGUACUUAUAUUUUCCUAUCACUUUCUUAAGGCUAGAAGACAACUAAUAAAACAUAAAAUGAAA